CAGUAGCCGCGGUAAUACGUAGGUGGCAAGCGUUGUCCGGAAUUAUUGAGCGUAAAGGGCUCGCAGGCGGUUUCUUAAGUCUGAUGUGAAAGCCCCCGGCUCAACCGGGGAGGGUCAUUGGAAACUGGGAAACUUGAGUGCAGAAGAGGAGAGUGGAAUUCCACGUGUAGCGGUGAAAUGCGUAGAGAUGUGGAGGAACACCAGUGGCGAAGGCGACUCUCUGGUCUGUAACUGACGCUGAGGAGCGAAAGCGUGGGGAGCGAACAGGAUUAGAUACCCCUGUAGUCCCUGUCUCUUAUAA
Molecule: ribosomal RNA, 301 nt
Filed under: uncultured bacterium
Lineage: Bacteria
Description: partial 16S ribosomal RNA
Rfam family: Bacterial small subunit ribosomal RNA
Source: RNAcentral